Halichondria panicea is the source of this 816-nucleotide long non-coding RNA. RefSeq lists it as uncharacterized. Lineage: Eukaryota; Metazoa; Porifera; Demospongiae; Suberitida; Halichondriidae. The transcript is spliced from 3 exons. The record is from RefSeq and is a predicted model, not a curated record.
GUCAGUUCCCGUUUUAUCAUUAUUGGAAUUGAUUGGAAUGGCUCUUAGCUGAAGCUUCUCUCUUCUCUGAAGCUUAGAAAACAUUAUUCUGAAGACUGAACAACAAGGGAAGAGGUAUAAAGCUUUGUCAAGCUUGUUAAGGAGCAAUGGCUAAUAUCCAGCUAUCCCAAAGUGGUCCUCUUGGCUAUACUAACGGACUAGACUGGACAGUUUGAGACCACAGGACUGGAGUAUGACCUGCUCGUUCGAGCGUUGCUGGGUAGCUCAGAGGCAUCAAGAGAAUCUACGUUUUCUCAAGCAAAAUUUAACUGAGUUAUGAGUUGGGGCCUAGAAUCAGAGAAGUCCAGCAGCCUGCUAAGUCUUUUUGAAACGUAAUUUAAAGGCAUUCAAUCAUCCUGAAGUUGCCCUGGGUCACUGUAAUUGUGCUGCAGCACAACUGGCAGCUCUCUAUGUGUAUAUUUUGUGUACUCACUCUGUGCAUUUUCUGUGUACAAAUUUCGAUUAUUGAAUAUUUUUGCCGACCACAUAUACAAUGAAAAUUUGACGCAUGCACAGAUAACUAGUACCAGGCUAGUUGGGCGUGGCUCGACCGUCUCCUGACGGGAGGUCGGGUUGCAAGCCUAUCUGGGAUUUGUUCUAGCGCCACUAUAGUGGCGCCCUAUCAGAUUGCAGCAUUUUUCACGUGCUUGGUUACACUUCCGUUUGCAUCUAGUUGCAAAACCGCAUGCAGUAUGCUGUGGUUUACCCACGUCAUCAUGUCGGUUAACACCCACUUGAGAAGAAGAAUAUUCAUGGCAGUGUUACAUAAUGCUGCAG